Molecule: non-coding RNA, 2207 nt
Organism: Cinara cedri
Lineage: Eukaryota; Metazoa; Arthropoda; Insecta; Hemiptera; Aphididae
Source: the annotation of a GenBank genome assembly
UAAAUUUUUUACUUGUGUACAAUUUUAGUGGAUUAAUUUAUCACUUUAGAUUUUAAGUGAAAAAGAGCAUAAUAAUUUCAAAAGGUCUUAUUUUUAUUUUGGGAUAGACAGUAUGCUUAGAAAUUAACUUUUUCAAAAAAAGAAAGGUUAUACUCAUACGUAAGUUUAGAGAUUCUAGCUCUAAAAAAAAAUACAAAUAUACAGUAAAAUAUCCUAUAAAAACAAUUUGUUAUUGAAAUUGUACAUUAAAAAUUUAACUAUUAUGAUAAUUGUUUCCUUUUUUCAUUAUUAAUGAAUAAUGUUAAUCACGUAAAACUUAAUUUUAGGAUAAAUAAUCUGAGAGUUAUUAACCAAACUCAAUGAUUGUCUGAUAAUAAAUGUAACUAAAUUACAAUAAUUUAUUCGACUAUGUUAACGCACAUAACUGCAUAUGAAUUAAAACAAUGUAAAUAAAAAAAGUAUGUAUAAAUGUAUGCAGUAUAAUACGUGACGUACAAUGAGAUAAGAUAUGAGUGUAUGUCCUUUCAUAGCAUUUCAAUCUACACACAACUUCUACAUAAUGUUAUUGUAAACUCUAAAAGUAAAACUUUAAUAUAUGCCUUUAAUAUAACCUUUAAUAUAAAAUUUAAGAUUACACGAUGAACGAUAUUUAUAAUAAACUCUGGUAUUUUUUCAAUCUUUCAAAAAUAAUAUGCAUAUGCUUGAUGUUCCUAACACUAGACUUAUAGUAAGUAGACCGUAAGUACGAAGGUAAAUUAUAGUUUAUUUAGUUUGAAUUUCUAAAAAAUGGCAUUGAAAAACAAUAAGAUCAAUGCACUUUAAAUUUAAAUUUUAAACUCUACUUGAUUCACAUUGAAUAGUAUUAUACGUCAUGUUAUAUUGAUUAAUAAUUACUGCGUUAAACUUGAAAAUAAUAAUACACUAGGAUAUUAUCGAGUGUGUUAACAAUAUAUGAUCAAUAGAAAAAAUUAAUAUUGCAAUAAUUCAUAAUAUAAUAAUAAUAAUUUAACAAUAGUAUAAUCCAUAUAUCUAUUCUAGAUUUUCGUUGAUAUCAUAUGAUUUCUUAGAAUGUUUAAUUUAAUUUAAUUUCUUUAUCAUCUAGUAAAACUGUUUGAGCAUCUUUAAUGUCGUUAAUUAUGAGUUCAUCCAAUGUUGGAUAAAUUAGGUCCUUAAAUGUCAGUGGUAACUGCAACAGAGGUGGGUUUAUGAGUGGAUCAUUACACCACAUGGUCCAAGUUUUUUCUACAAAGUCGAAAACACCUUUAAACAAUAAAAAAACAAUUCGUAUAGUUAUCGUAUAAAAAUUAUUAUUAUAUUGAUAAUUCGUUAAAAACUACAAGCUUAAUAAAUCAUAAAUCAUGAUAAUUGAAACUUUUUUAAAUUAAUUGUAGAAAUGUUAUUAACAUAACUCAUUAAGAUUUGUAAAUUGAAUUAUUUUGUUCAAGAUUGAGAAUUACUGCAUUUAGCCCGUUCAUUAUACUAUUUAUGCGCGAUGAAUUAUGAAUGAUGCAUUUAACUGCUUUAUUAAUGAAUGUGAAUUCAACUUAAAUCCUAACAUGAGUUAAAUGUUAUAUAUUAAGCACUAUUUUAUACUUAUAAAGAAAAUUAAUUGGAAAAUAUUUAUAGCUUGACAUCAGUUGGUUAAUAGUAUGAAGUCUUGAGUAUAGAUCAAUUGUAUUAUUACGUAUUCAUAUUCUUAACAGGAUAAAAUAAAAUAACAUACAAAUCUAUAUAAAAGUAUUUCCGUAGAACACAUGCUCUCAGUGCCCCUUGGCUACCACCUGUAUCAUUAUAUUUAUAAUAAUAAUAAAGUAAAAAUUAUAUUAUUUUUGGUAUAUUUAUAAAUAAUUUGACUGAUAUAUCUGGUUUUUAUUCAUAAGUGUUAAAUUGGAAAAAAAAAUCUUAUCAUUUUGUUAUUAAAAUAUAUGUUUUAUAAAUUUUAAAAAUCAAACAUAUUUAAAUUUCUAGUUCUAUUUUUAAAUUUGGGUCUGAAAAAACCCUAACUCAUGGUUGAUUGUACGAGGUUUUGCUAUUCUAUGCCGUAGAAUCUUCUAUUAAAUACUACUAAUUUGCUGUUAUCCUGAAUCUCGAUAUACUCGAUUCACUCCUAUCAUUCAGCUACUUUGUCGUUACUACUUCAUAUUUUCUUAGUUCAUGGGUCUAAAUGAGCACUCAGUAAGUACUUCUCCAUAUAAAAUAGUAUUGUA